This 71-nucleotide transfer RNA is filed under the name Candidatus Chloroheliaceae bacterium. RNAcentral's name for it is "tRNA-Gly". It matches the Rfam family "tRNA". Rfam says of the family: Transfer RNA (tRNA) molecules are approximately 80 nucleotides in length. Their secondary structure includes four short double-helical elements and three loops (D, anti-codon, and T loops). Further hydrogen bonds mediate the characteristic L-shaped molecular structure. tRNAs have two regions of fundamental functional importance: the anti-codon, which is responsible for specific mRNA codon recognition, and the 3' end, to which the tRNAs corresponding amino acid is attached (by aminoacyl-tRNA synthetases). tRNAs cope with the degeneracy of the genetic code in two manners: having more than one tRNA (with a specific anti-codon) for a particular amino acid; and 'wobble' base-pairing, i.e. permitting non-standard base-pairing at the 3rd anti-codon position. Lineage: Bacteria; Bacillati; Chloroflexota; Chloroflexia; Candidatus Chloroheliales; Candidatus Chloroheliaceae. The record is from RNAcentral.
GUCGGUGUAGUUUAGUGGCAGAACGCUACGCUUCCAACGUAGCUGCAAGGGUUCGAUUCCCUUCUCCGGCU